UUCUAUGGUGGGCGGUGCGCGGAGGCCGCAAGGCCUGCCGGUUCCCGCUUCUGCCCUACCGGUUUUGAUAGCCGCGUACCGUCCACCACCUUU
Molecule: non-coding RNA, 93 nt
Filed under: Xanthomonas hortorum pv. pelargonii
Lineage: Bacteria; Pseudomonadati; Pseudomonadota; Gammaproteobacteria; Lysobacterales; Lysobacteraceae
Source: RNAcentral